This 465-nucleotide ribosomal RNA is filed under the name uncultured bacterium. Its description in RNAcentral is "partial 16S ribosomal RNA". It matches the Rfam family "Bacterial small subunit ribosomal RNA", at positions 28 to 507 of the family's 1533-position model. The record is from RNAcentral.
GAUGAACGCUGGCGGCGUGGUUAACACAUGCAAGUCGAACGAAAUAUACUAACUUAAUUUGUUUAGUGGCAGACGGGGUAGUUACACGUCGGAACUCACCCCAGCGACGGACACAACCCCGCCAAAGCGGAGCUAAUAUCCGAUCGUCUCCGAACUUGCAAGAGCGUCGGAGUAAAUCUAGCAAUUCGGUUUGGGAAAGGCCUGCGGGCUAUCAGCUUGUUGGUGGGGUAGUGGCUUACCAAGGCUAUGACGGGUAGCAGGCGUGAGAGCGCGACCGCCAACAUUGGGAAUGAGAUAAGGCACAGACUACUCAGGGAGGGAGGAGGGGGGAAUAGUGCACAAUGGGCGGAAGGCUGAUGCAGGAAAGCCGCGGGGGGGAAGACGGCAUUCGGGUUGGAAACCGAUUUCGCUUGUGACGAAGCGUGAGUGACGGUAAUGGGUAAAGAAGCACGGGCUAACUACGUG